AUUGAACGCUGGCGGAAUGCUUUACACAUGCAAGUCGAACGGCAGCACGGACUUCGGUCUGGUGGCGAGUGGCGAACGGGUGAGUAACAUAUCGGAACGUAUCCAAUAACGGGGGAUAACGAGUCGAAAGAUUCGCUAAUACCGCAUACGCCCUACGGGAGAAAGCUGGGGACCUUCGGGCCUGGCGUUAAUGGAGCGGCCGAUAUCUGAUUAGCUAGUUGGUGAGGUAAAGGCUCACCAAGGCGACGAUCAGUAGCUGGUCUGAGAGGACGACCAGCCAUACUGGAACUGAGACACGGUCCAGACUCCUACGGGAGGCAGCAGUGGGGAAUUUUGGACAAUGGGCGCAAGCCUGAUCCAGCCAUUCCGCGUGAGUGAAGAAGGCCUUCGGGUUGUAAAGCUCUUUCGCAAGGGAAGAAAACUUAGCCACUAACAUUGGUUGAGGUUGACGGUACCUUGAUAAGAAGCACCGGCUAACUACGUGCCAGCCGCCGCGGUAA
This 500-nucleotide ribosomal RNA is filed under the name uncultured bacterium. Its description in RNAcentral is "partial 16S ribosomal RNA". It matches the Rfam family "Bacterial small subunit ribosomal RNA", at positions 30 to 523 of the family's 1533-position model. The record is from RNAcentral.